Molecule: ribosomal RNA, 786 nt
Filed under: uncultured bacterium
Lineage: Bacteria
Description: bacterial SSU rRNA
Rfam family: Bacterial small subunit ribosomal RNA
Source: RNAcentral
CUCCUGGCUCAACUGGGAGAGGCCGUUCUAAACUACAGAACUAGAGGAUGGUAGAGGGGAGGUGGAAUUCCAGGUGUAGCGGUGGAAUGCGCAGAUAUCUGGAGGAACACCGGUGGCGAAGGCGGCCUCCUGGACCAUUCCUGACACUCAGACGCGAAAGCUAGGGUAGCAAACGGGAUUAGAGACCCCGGUAGUCCUAGCCCUAAACGAUGUAGACUAGGCGUCGGAAGUUUAAUCACUUUCGGUGUCCAAGCUAACGCGAUAAGUCUACCGCCUGGGGACUACGGCCGCAAGGUUAAAACUCAAAGGAAUUGACGGGUCCCCGCACAAGCAGCGGAGCGUGUGGUUUAAUUCGUUGCUACACGAAGAACCUUACCUGGGUUUGACAUAGCAGUGGUAGGGAAGCGAAAGCGGACCGACCCUUCGGGGAGCUGUUACAGGUGUUGCAUGGCUGUCGUCAGCUCGUGUCGUGAGAUGUUCGGUUAAGUCCGCUAACGAGCGCAACCCGCGUUGUGUGUUACAAGUGUCACACAAUACCGCCGGUAUUAAGUCGGAGGAAGGUGCGGAUGACGUCAAGUCAGCAUGACCUUUAUAUCCAGGGCUACACACACGCUACAAUGGUCAGCACAAUAGGUUGCCAAGUCGUGAGACGGAGCCAAUCCCCCAAAGCUGGCCUCAGUUCAGAUUGCAGGCUGCAACUCGCCUGCAUGAAGUUGGAGUUGCUAGUAACCGCAGGUCAGCUAUACUGCGGUGAAUACGUUCCCGGGGAUUGUACACACCGCCCGU